UUAUCGGGAUUACUGGGGCGUAAGCGCACGCAGGCGGUCUGUCAAGUCGGAUGUGAAAUCCCCGGGCUCAACCUGGGAACUGCAUUCGAAACUGGCAGGCUAGAGUCUUGUACAGGGGGGUAGAAUUCCAGGUGUAGCGGUGAAAUGCGUAGAGAUCUGGAGGAAUACCGGUGGCGAAGGCGGCCCCCUGGACAAAGACUGACGCUCAGGUGCGAAAGCGUGGGGAGCAAACAGGAUUAGAUACCCUGGUAGUCCACGCCGUAAACGAUGUCGACUUGGAGGUUGUGCCCUUGAGGCGUGGCUUCCGGAGCUAACGCGUUAAGUCGACCGCCUGGGGAGUACGGCCGCAAGGUUAAAACUCAAAUGAAUUGACGGGGGCCCGCACAAGCGGUGGAGCAUGUGGUUUAAUUCGAUGCAACGCGAAGAACCUUACCUACUCUUGACAUCCAGAGAACUUUCCAGAGAUGGAUUGGUGCCUUCGGGAACUCUGAGACAGGUGCUGCAUGGCUGUCGUCAGCUCGUGUUGUGAAAUGUUGGGUUAAGUCCCGCAACGAGCGCAACCCUUAUCCUU
RNAcentral lists this ribosomal RNA (571 nucleotides) under Enterobacter hormaechei. Its description in RNAcentral is "bacterial SSU rRNA". It matches the Rfam family "Bacterial small subunit ribosomal RNA", at positions 541 to 1112 of the family's 1533-position model. The record is from RNAcentral. Lineage: Bacteria; Pseudomonadati; Pseudomonadota; Gammaproteobacteria; Enterobacterales; Enterobacteriaceae.